Molecule: ribosomal RNA, 514 nt
Filed under: uncultured bacterium
Lineage: Bacteria
Description: bacterial SSU rRNA
Rfam family: Bacterial small subunit ribosomal RNA
Source: RNAcentral
GAUCAUGGCUCAGGAUGAACGCUAGCUACAGGCUUAACACAUGCAAGUCGAGGGGCAGCAUGGAGUUGCUUGCAAACUCUGAUGGCGACCGGCGCACGGGUGAGUAACGCGUAUCCAACCUUCCCUAUAGUAGAGGAUAGCCCGGCGAAAGUCGGACUAAUACUCUAUGUUUUCCGUUGCAGACAUCUAAGAUGGAACAAAGGCUUGCCGCUAUAGGAUGGGGGAUGCGUCUGGUUAGAUAGUAGGCGGGGUAACGGCCCACCUAGUCGACGAUCAGUAGGGGUUCUGAGAGGAAGGUCCCCCACAUUGGAACUGAGACACGGUCCAAACUCCUACGGGAGGCAGCAGUGAGGAAUAUUGGUCAAUGGGCGAGAGCCUGAACCAGCCAAGUAGCGUGCAGGAUGACGGCCCUAUGGGUUGUAAACUGCUUUUAUAUGGGGAUAAAGUCACCCACGUGUGGGUGUUUGUAGGUACCAUAUGAAUAAGGACCGGCUAAUUCCGUGCCAGCCGCAGC